Non-coding RNA from Rattus norvegicus (Norway rat), 297 nucleotides. The record is from RefSeq and is a predicted model, not a curated record. NCBI's taxonomy places the organism in Eukaryota, Metazoa, Chordata, Mammalia, Rodentia, Muridae.
GCUGCGCAUGCUCAAGGAAGCUGAUGUGAUGUACAAUUUGUUGAGCGGUGCCAUAGGCCUAAGUAAGCUAAGUAGGCAGCAAUGCCAUCCUUAAACACAGAACUCUGUAAAAGAGAUCAUCUACAGAAUCAAACGGAGCCUACUUAGACGUACAAGAUAACCUGCUCUGAGGUUUCCGAAGUCUGAACCAGGAUGCACAAGAUUCAUAUUCAUAUUAACACGAAAAAAUAGAUAGCAGGGCUGACUUGUUUGACUAGAAAGGCUUUUAUGUGCCAAUAAAAAGCUGGUUUGUCAACA